CGUCAGUACGUCGUAUCCACGGUAACCACCCCUGCGACGUCACUACCCCUUCUCCCUUCCCUUUCAGAAACCGGUGAGCGACGCACAGCGAGGCGUCACCAAGCUGGGAGGAAGGAAAGAAGGCGGCCCUGGUUGUCAUAACAGCAGUGGGGCUCGGUCACCAAAGCAAUGAGAAGGGACUCUUGAUAUGGCUUCCUACAGUAAUUGCCUGGCUAGAUAGAUACUUCUCAGAGCUCACUGUCUCCUAGCAAUUCCCUGAUGUUGCUUGGAAUUUCACUGUGGAAAUGAUUGGAUUUUUAUAGAACCUGGUGUUCAUCUUCCUGCUUUCUCUGCAGUCCCACAUGGAAACUGUGUUUCCACAGGCCCACAACACAAAAGUGCUAGCAAGCUUUUAAAAGAAUUUUCUAGAGUUC
Molecule: long non-coding RNA, 413 nt
Organism: Heteronotia binoei (common prickly gecko)
Lineage: Eukaryota; Metazoa; Chordata; Lepidosauria; Squamata; Gekkonidae
Exons: 3
Source: RefSeq, a predicted model, not a curated record